CGGAUCUCUUGGUUCUGGCAUCGAUGAAGAACGCAGCGAAAUGCGAUAAGUAAUGUGAAUUGCAGAAUUCAGUGAACCAUCGAAUCUUUGAACGCACAUUGCGCCCGCCAGCACUCUGGCGGGCAUGCCUGUCCGAGCGUCAUCUC
RNAcentral lists this ribosomal RNA (146 nucleotides) under Ophiocordyceps sinensis. RNAcentral describes it as "partial 5.8S ribosomal RNA". It matches the Rfam family "5.8S ribosomal RNA". Rfam says of the family: 5.8S ribosomal RNA (5.8S rRNA) is a component of the large subunit of the eukaryotic ribosome. It is transcribed by RNA polymerase I as part of the 45S precursor that also contains 18S and 28S rRNA. Functionally, it is thought that 5.8S rRNA may be involved in ribosome translocation. The record is from RNAcentral. Lineage: Eukaryota; Fungi; Ascomycota; Sordariomycetes; Hypocreales; Ophiocordycipitaceae.